GAUCAUGGCUCAGGAUGAACGCUAGCGGCAGGCUUAACACAUGCAAGUCGAGGGGCAGCGGGAUGUAGCAAUACAUUGCCGGCGACCGGCGGAUGGGUGCGUAACGCGUAUGCAACCUACCUUAUACAGGGGAAUAACCUUUCGAAAGGGAGACUAACACCCCAUGGUAUUGAUUUAAGGCAUCUUAGAUUAAUUAAAUAUUUAUAGGUAUAAGAUGGGCAUGCGUAUGAUUAGCUAGUUGGUAAGGUAACGGCUUACCAAGGCGACGAUCAUUAGGGGUUCUGAGAGGAAGGUCCCCCACACUGGUACUGAGACACGGACCAGACUCCUACGGGAGGCAGCAGUGAGGAAUAUUGGUCAAUGGGCGCAAGCCUGAACCAGCCAUGCCGCGUGCAGGAAAGACGGCCUUAUGGGUUGUAAACUGCUUUUACAUAAGACUAACCGUAUAUUUGCGAAUAUACCUGAAUGUAUUAUGAGAAUAAGGAUCGGCUAACUCCGUGCCAGCAGCCGC
This 511-nucleotide ribosomal RNA is filed under the name uncultured bacterium. Its description in RNAcentral is "bacterial SSU rRNA". It matches the Rfam family "Bacterial small subunit ribosomal RNA", at positions 15 to 518 of the family's 1533-position model. The record is from RNAcentral.